GACGUAGGGCGCGAGCGUUGUCCGGAUUUAUUGGGCGUAAAGAGCUCGUAGGCGGCUUGUCGCGUCGACUGUGAAAACCCACGGCUUAACUGUGGGCUUGCAGUCGAUACGGGCAGGCUAGAGUUCGGUAGGGGAGACUGGAAUUCCUGGUGUAGCGGUGAAAUGCGCAGAGAUCGGGAGGAACACCCGUAGCGAAGGCGGCACUCUGGGCCGGUACUGACGCUGAGGAGCGAAAGCGUGGGGAGCAAACAGG
RNAcentral lists this ribosomal RNA (253 nucleotides) under uncultured bacterium. Its description in RNAcentral is "partial 16S ribosomal RNA". It matches the Rfam family "Bacterial small subunit ribosomal RNA", at positions 524 to 776 of the family's 1533-position model. The record is from RNAcentral.